This 640-nucleotide long non-coding RNA is filed under the name Elaeis guineensis (African oil palm). Its description in RNAcentral is "long non-coding RNA (EGUI_LNC026725)". Lineage: Eukaryota; Viridiplantae; Streptophyta; Magnoliopsida; Arecales; Arecaceae. The record is from RNAcentral.
UGGGGCAGCCUUGGCAGCAGGCUCGGUGGUGGGCUUAGCAGCGGGCUUGAUGGUGGGCUUGGCAAUAGGCUUGGCAAUAAAUUUCAUCAUGGCUCUAUAAUAGUUGUAGCCACAAUCGAGGAGGCUUAACUUUGAUGAUGGGUGGCGGUGUGACUUGAUCUUCCUCUUUGGACUCGUCAUCAUUGCUGGCCUUGGGGUCGAGACGAUCAAUAUUGACUCCCAAGAAUAACUAGGUGAUCUGCACCUUGCAAGCCUCAAACUCGUACCUGUAGGCCAUCGAGGAGCCUUUGGUGAUCUCAACUUCAAAGGCGACAGAGGGUUUGUACUCAUUCAUGAUCUUGAACUUUGUCUCGGCAACUAUCUUUAACCUCUCCACCUUCGCCUAAGCCUCAAUCAGUUUCUCCUUCUUUUCGGCAACCUUGAUCGCUGCCUCGCCAAGCUCCAAUGCCUCUUCGAGCUCAGCAACCUAUGAUGCAUCUUAGUGAUGCCAUGCUCCACUGUAAUAAAGCCCUCGAGGGCUUCAAUCCUCUCCCAAGCUGCUAAGAGCUUGGAUCUGGCUCGGGAGGUCUCUUCAGCUUCUUUCUUUUCCUUCUCAGCGGCCUUCGCCUAAGCCUUAGCGGUUCAAAGUUUCUCCUCAAGC